GUGAGGAAUUUUCCGCAAUGGGCGAAAGCCUGACGGAGCAAUGCCGCGUGAAGGAUGAAGGCCUAUGGGUUGUAAACUGCUUUUAACCGGGAAGAAACCCCAGGACGUGUCCUGGGUUGACGGUACCGGAGGAAUAAGCACCGGCUAACUUCGUGCCAGCAGCCGCGGUAAUACGAAGGGUGCAAGCGUUAUCCGGAUUCAUUGGGUUUAAAGGUUGCGUAGGCGGAGCGUUAAGUCAGUGGUGAAAUCCUGCAGCUUAACUGUAGACUUGCCAUUGAUACUGGCGCUCUUGAGUGCACUUGAAGUGGGCGGAAUGUGCCGUGUAGCGGUGAAAUGCUUAGAUAUGGCACAGAACACCAAUUGCGAAGGCAGCUCACUAAGGCGAUACUGACGCUGAGGCACGAAAGCGUGGGGAUCGAACAGGAUUAGAUACCCGGGUAGUCC
This 444-nucleotide ribosomal RNA is filed under the name uncultured bacterium. RNAcentral's name for it is "partial 16S ribosomal RNA". It matches the Rfam family "Bacterial small subunit ribosomal RNA", at positions 354 to 796 of the family's 1533-position model. The record is from RNAcentral.